This 390-nucleotide ribosomal RNA is filed under the name uncultured bacterium. RNAcentral's name for it is "bacterial SSU rRNA". It matches the Rfam family "Bacterial small subunit ribosomal RNA", at positions 28 to 418 of the family's 1533-position model. The record is from RNAcentral.
GACGAACGCUGGCGGCGUGCUUAACACAUGCAAGUCGAGCGGUAAGGCCCUUUCGGGGGUACGACGAGCGGCGAACGGGUGAGUAACACGUGGGUGACCUGCCCUCAGCUCUGGGAUAAGCCUGGGAAACCGGGUCUAAUACCGGAUAUGACUCCAUGACGCAUGUUGUGGGGUGGAAAGCCUUGUGCGGCUGAGGAUGGGCCCGCGGCCUAUCAGCUUGUUGGUGGGGUGAGGCCUACCAAGGCGACGACGGGUAGCCGGCCUGAGAGGGCGACCGGCCACACUGGGACUGAGACACGGCCCAGACUCCUACGGGAGGCAGCAGGUGGGGAAUCUUGCGCAAUGGGCGAAAGCCUGACGCAGCGACGCCGCGUGAGGGAUGACGGCCUC